AGUUUGAUCCUGGCUCAGGACGAACGCUGGCGGCGCGCCUAACACAUGCAAGUUGAACGAGCGAGAGAGAGCUUGCUUUCUCGAGCGAGUGGCGAACGGGUGAGUAACGCGUGAGGAACCUGCCUCAAAGAGGGGGACAACAGUUGGAAACGACUGCUAAUACCGCAUAAGCCCACGGCUCGGCAUCGAGCAGAGGGAAAAGGAGCAAUCCGCUUUGAGAUGGCCUCGCGUCCGAUUAGCUAGUUGGUGAGGUAAUGGCCCACCAAGGCGACGAUCGGUAGCCGGACUGAGAGGUUGAACGGCCACAUUGGGACUGAGACACGGCCCAGACUCCUACGGGAGGCAGCAGUGGGGAAUAUUGCACAAUGGGGGAAACCCUGAUGCAGCGACGCCGCGUGGAGGAAGAAGGUCUUCGGAUUGUAAACUCCUGUUGUUGAGGAAGAUAAUGACGGUACUCAACAAGGAAGUGACGGCUAACUACGUGCCAGCAGCCGCGGUAAAACGUAGGUCACAAGCGUUGUCCGGAAUUACUGGGUGUAAAGGGAGCGCAGGCGGGAAGACAAGUUGGAAGUGAAAUCCAUGGGCUCAACCCAUGAACUGCUUUCAAAACUGUUUUUCUUGAGUAGUGCAGAGGUAGGCGGAAUUCCCGGUGUAGCGGUGGAAUGCGUAGAUAUCGGGAGGAACACCAGUGGCGAAGGCGGCCUACUGGGCACCAACUGACGCUGAGGCUCGAAAGUGUGGGUAGCAAACAGGAUUAGAUACCCUGGUAGUCCACACUGUAAACGAUGAUUACUAGGUGUUGGAGGAUUGACCCCUUCAGUGCCGCAGUUAACACAAUAAGUAAUCCACCUGGGGAGUACGACCGCAAGGUUGAAACUCAAAUGAAUUGACG
Molecule: ribosomal RNA, 892 nt
Filed under: uncultured bacterium
Lineage: Bacteria
Description: bacterial SSU rRNA
Rfam family: Bacterial small subunit ribosomal RNA
Source: RNAcentral